AACGAAGAGGUAUCGUAAUUGAAGAGGUUUGGAAAGACCCACCACAGAAGGUAAUAGUCCUGUAUGUUAAACGAGAAGACUUUAGAUAUGAUCCAGAGUACCACGGGACACGUGAAACCCUGUGGGAAGCAGGAGGGACCACCCUCCAAGGCUAAAUACUACCUAGUGACCGAUAGCGUAUAGUACCGUGAGGGAAAGGUGAAAAGAACCCCGGGAGGGGAGUGAAAUAGAACCUGAAACCCUGCACUUACAAGCUGUGGAAGCACAUUUCUUGUGUGACCGCGUACUUUUUGUAGAACGGGCCAACGAGUUACGUUAAGUAGCAAGGUUAAGCACUUAAGGUGCGGAGCCGUAGCGAAAGCGAGUUUUAACUGAGCGUUCAGUUACUUGACGUAGACCCGAAACCGGGCGACCUACCCAUGAGCAGGAUGAAGCGAAAGUAAAAUUUCGUGGAGGUCCGAACCCACGAGCGUUGAAAAGCUCGGGGAUGACUUGUGGGUAGCGGUGAAAUUCCAAUCGAGCCCGGAGAUAGCUGGUUCUCCCCGAAAUAGCUUUAGGGCUAGCCUCAAGGUGAGAGAUACGGAGGUAGAGCACUGAAUGUCCUAGGGGGUAUUGCACCUACCGAAGACUAUCAAACUCCGAAUGCCGUCAUCUUAUACUUGGGAGUCAGACUGUGGGUGAUAAGAUUCAUAGUCGAAAGGGCAACAGCCCAGAUCGUCAGCUAAGGUCCCUAAAUGUAAGUUAAGUGGUAAAGGAUGUGGGAUUGCACAGACAACCAGGAUGUUGGCUUAGAAGCAGCCACUCAUUCAAAGAGUGCGUAAUAGCUCACUGGUCGAGUGAUCCUGCGCCGAAGAUUUCCGGGGCUAAAACUUACUACCGAAGCUACGGCAUCAGUAAUGAUGGGUAGGGGAGCUUCCCAUACGGGUUGAAGCAUGACCGUAAGGACAUGUGGACAGUAUGGGAGUGAGAAUGUUGGCAUGAGUAGCGAGAUGUGGGUGAGAAUCCCACAGGCCGUAAACCCAAGGUUUCCAGGGGAAGGUUCGUCCGCCCUGGGUUAGUCGGGACCUAAGCUGAGGCCGAAAGGCGUAGGUGAUGGACAACAGGUUGAUAUUCCUGUACUACCGAUAACCGUUUGAGAGAAGGGAUGACACAGUAGGAUAAGCUAAGCACACUGUUGGUUAUGUGUGCCCAAGCAUUGAGGCAGUCAAAGUAGGCAAAUCCGCUUUGAUAAUGCUGGGAUGUGAUGGGGAGCGAAAUUUAGUAGCGAAGUAGCUGAUUUCACACUGUCAAGAAAAGUCUCUAUCGAGGUUAAAGGUACCCGUACCGCAAACCGACACAGGUGGGUGAGGAGAGUAUCCUAAGGCCAGCGAGAGAACUGUUGUUAAGGAACUCGGCAAAAUGACCCCGUAACUUAGGGAUAAGGGGUGCCACCAUCAGGUGGCCGCAGAGAAUAGGCCCAAGCGACUGUUUACCAAAAACAUAGGUUUCUGCUAAGUCGCAAGACGAUGUAUAGGAGCUGACGCCUGCCCGGUGCUGGAAGGUUAAGGGGAUCUGUUAGAGCAAUCGAAGCAGUGAACUUAAGCCCCAGUAAACGGCGGCCGUAACUAUAACGGUCCUAAGGUAGCGAAAUUCCUUGUCGGGUAAGUUCCGACCCGCACGAAAGGCGUAACGAUUUGGGCACUGUCUCAACAACAGACUCGGUGAAAUUGUAAUUCCGGUGAAGAUGCCGGAUACCUGCGACAGGACGGAAAGACCCCAUGGAGCUUUACUGUAGCUUGACAUUGGGUCUUGGUACUACAUGUACAGGAUAGGUGGGAGGCUUUGAAACCAGGACGCCAGUUUUGGCGGAGCCAUCCUUGGGAUACCACCCUUGUA
Molecule: ribosomal RNA, 1875 nt
Filed under: Clostridioides difficile
Lineage: Bacteria; Bacillati; Bacillota; Clostridia; Peptostreptococcales; Peptostreptococcaceae
Description: partial 23S ribosomal RNA
Rfam family: Bacterial large subunit ribosomal RNA
Source: RNAcentral